RNAcentral lists this ribosomal RNA (349 nucleotides) under uncultured bacterium. RNAcentral describes it as "partial 16S ribosomal RNA". It matches the Rfam family "Bacterial small subunit ribosomal RNA", at positions 338 to 704 of the family's 1533-position model. The record is from RNAcentral.
CCUACGGGAGGCAGCAGUGGGGGAUAUUGCACAAUGGGGGGAACCCUGAUGCAGCGACGCCGCGUGGGUGAAGGAGGGUUUCGGCGCGUAAAGCCCUAUCGGCAGGGAAGAAGAUGACGGUACCUGGGCAAGAAGCCACGGCUAACGACGUGACAGCAGCCGCGGUAAUACGUAGGGGGCAAGCGUUACCCGGAAUGACUGGGGGUAAAGGGGGCGCAGACGGCACUGCAAGCCAGGAGUGACAGCCCGGGGCCCCACCCCGGGACUGCUCUUGGAACUGCCUGGCUGGAGUACAGGAGGGGCAGGCGGAAUUCCUAGUGUCGCGGUGAACUGCGUAGAUAUUAGGAGG